Molecule: transfer RNA, 16 nt
Filed under: Hyloxalus sordidatus
Lineage: Eukaryota; Metazoa; Chordata; Amphibia; Anura; Dendrobatidae
Description: partial tRNA-Phe
Source: RNAcentral
AAAUUCUAAAGACACA